GAUGAACGCUGGCGGCGUGCCUAAUACAUGCAAGUCGAGCGAACAGACGAGGAGCUUGCUCCUUUGACGUUAGCGGCGGACGGGUGAGUAACACGUGGGUAACCUACCUAUAAGACUGGGAUAACUUCGGGAAACCGGAGCUAAUACCGGAUAAUAUUUCGAACCGCAUGGUUCGAUAGUGAAAGAUGGCUUUGCUAUCACUUAUAGAUGGACCUGCGCCGUAUUAGCUAGUUGGUAAGGUAACGGCUUACCAAGGCAACGAUACGUAGCCGACCUGAGAGGGUGAGCGGCCACACUGGAACUGAGACACGGUCCAGACUCCUACGGGAGGCAGCAGUAGGGAAUCUUCCGCAAUGGGCGAAAGCCUGACGGAGCAACGCCGCGUGAGUGAUGAAGGUCUUCGGAUCGUAAAACUCUGUUAUUAGGGAAGAACAAACGUGUAAGUAACUGUGCACGUCUUGACGGUACCUAAUCAGAAAGCCACGGCUAACUACGUG
This 497-nucleotide ribosomal RNA is filed under the name uncultured bacterium. Its description in RNAcentral is "partial 16S ribosomal RNA". It matches the Rfam family "Bacterial small subunit ribosomal RNA", at positions 28 to 507 of the family's 1533-position model. The record is from RNAcentral.